CAGCAGCCGCCGCGGUAAUACGUAGGUGGCAAGCGUUGUCCGGAAUUAUUGGGCGUAAAGGGCUCGCAGGCGGUUUCUUAAGUCUGAUGUGAAAGCCCCCGGCUCAACCGGGGAGGGUCAUUGGAAACUGGGAAACUUGAGUGCAGAAGAGGAGGGCGGAAUUCCACGUGUAGCGGUGAAAUGCGUAGAGAUGUGGAGGAACACCAGUGGCGAAGGCGACUCUCUGGUCUGUAACUGACGCUGAGGAGCGAAAGCGUGGGGAGCGAACAGGAUUAGAUACCCCAGUAGUCCCUGUCUCUUAUAC
RNAcentral lists this ribosomal RNA (304 nucleotides) under uncultured bacterium. Its description in RNAcentral is "partial 16S ribosomal RNA". It matches the Rfam family "Bacterial small subunit ribosomal RNA", at positions 506 to 807 of the family's 1533-position model. The record is from RNAcentral.